AGGUUACUGCUAUCGGUGUUCGCCUAAGCCAUGCGAGUCAUAUGUUCUUCGUGAACAUGGCGUACUGCUCAGUAACACGUGGAUAACCUGCCCUUGGGUCUGGGAUAACCCCGGGAAACUGGGGAUAAUACCGGAUAACGCAUAUAUGCUGGAAUGCUUUAUGCGUAAAAUGGAUUCGUCUGCCCAAGGAUGGGUCUGCGGCCUAUCAGGUAGUAGUGGGUGUAAUGUACCUACUAGCCUACAACGGGUACGGGUUGUGAGAGCAAGAGCCCGGAGAUGGAUUCUGAGACAUGAAUCCAGGCCCUACGGGGCGCAGCAGGCACGAAAACUUUACAAUGCGGAAACCGUGAUAAGGGGACACCGAGUGCCAGCAUCAUAUGCUGGCUGUCCAGAUGUGUAAAAUACAUCUGUUAGCAAGGGCCGGGCAAGACCGGUGCCAGCCGCCGCGGUAACACCGGCGGCCCGAGUGGUGAUCGUGAUUAUUGGGUCUAAAGGGUCCGUANCCCGGUUUGGUCAGUCCUCCGGGAAAUCUGAUGGCUCAACCAUUUAGCUUUCGGGGGAUACUGCCAGGCUUGGAACCGGGAGA
RNAcentral lists this ribosomal RNA (586 nucleotides) under uncultured archaeon. RNAcentral's name for it is "bacterial SSU rRNA". It matches the Rfam family "Archaeal small subunit ribosomal RNA", at positions 21 to 606 of the family's 1478-position model. The record is from RNAcentral.